AGAGUUAAACAGUACGUGAAAUUGUUGAAAGGGAAACGAUUGAAGUCAGUCGUACCAGCGGGAAAUCAACCUUUCGAGUGGGGUUUUGGAGUUUUGAAGAGUGUCAAACCUUCGAGAUUUCAAAAUGUUCUCUCUUUUGGUGUACUUUCUCGCAGGUAGGUUAACAUCGAUUUUGAUCAUCAUAAAAGGAUUGGAGGAAUGUAGCUUCGAUCUCGUAUUGAAGUGUUAUAGCCUUUGGUAAAUGUGAUGAUUAGGAUCGAGGAUUGCAACGAAUACCCUUUUGGGCUAUCCGCCUGAUCUCUGAUACGUGGCCUUGGUAUCGAAAGCGUGCUUAUGGUAUUAAGGUAUACGGUCAAAAGGUUAGAACGGAUUAAAUUCGUUAAGGAUGUUGACGUAAUGGCUUUAAACGACC
RNAcentral lists this non-coding RNA (412 nucleotides) under uncultured fungus. Lineage: Eukaryota; Fungi. The record is from RNAcentral. RNAcentral also lists the same sequence under 1 other name.